This 414-nucleotide long non-coding RNA is filed under the name Salmo trutta (river trout). Its description in RNAcentral is "lncRNA (ENSSTUG00000002062.1)". The record is from RNAcentral. Lineage: Eukaryota; Metazoa; Chordata; Actinopteri; Salmoniformes; Salmonidae.
AAUGGGCGGGUGUGGAAGUAGUGCUCUAUCGGCCUAUCUAUAUGUCUGUGUGUGUCUUUCUAUGCCAAUGUUAGCCUUCGAUAUUGAUGGAAGAUCCAGCCAAUAUGAGAGAUGGGCCGUCUACCUGCCAGAAUACCUCUAAUGACUGCCUUGACUACACUUCACUGACCCUGUCCCUCCCACCCCUCCCAGAGAGGGGUGACGAGGAGGAAGAAAGGGGGAGUGUGUAUGGAUUAGCAACACUCACAUCCAAGGAACAGAGCUCUGGGAGGGAGUCAGAGGAGUGGAGCCAAUGGCAGGGGGAGUUCAGAGGUCAAAUCCGAGCCCUACGACACUGGCUGAAGAGCAUGGAGAUGAGGCUACCUCCUCUGGACCAUAUGGUCAGUUGGGUUGUUGAGUUGUUAGGUUCCUUAC